UUCGGGAUGAUAGGUCGACGGUGAGGACACGUGAGGAUCUGCCCAUCAUUGGGGAUACACGGAACCGGUGCUAUUACCGAAUACUCGUCUGGGGAUCGCUAAGCGGAAGAAUUCGAUGAUGGAUGAUCUCGGGCCUAUCAGCUAGUGGUGAGGUAAGGUCACCAGGCAACGAGGGUAGCGGGCCUGAGAGGGCGACGGCCACACUGGGACUGAGACACGGCCCAGACUCCUACGGGAGGCAGCAGUAGGGAAUAUUGGGCAAUGGGCGCAAGCCUGACCCAGCGACGCCGCGUGAGGGAUGAAGGUCUUCGGAUGUAAACCUCUUUCAGUAGGAAGAAGCGAAAGUGAAGGUACCUAAAGAAGAAGCACCGGCUAACUAUGUGCCAGCAGCCGCGGUAAUACAUAGGGUGCAAGCGUUGUCCGGAAUUAUUGGGCGUAAAGAGCUCGUAGGUGGUUCGAUACGUCGGAUGUGAAAAUCAGGGGCUCAACCCCUGACCUGCAUUCGAUACGGUCGAGCUAGAGUUUGUUAGGGGAGACUGGAAUUCCUGGUGUACCGGUGGAAUGCGCAGAUAUCAGGAGGAACACAAUGGCGAAGGCAGGUCUCUGGCCAUAACUGACACUGAGGAGCGAAAGUGCGGGGAGCGAACAGGAUUAGAUACCCUGGUAGUCCGCACCGUAAACGGUGGGCACUAGUUGUGGGAACCUUCCACGGUUUCCGCGACGCAGCAAACGCAUUAAGUGCCCCGCCUGGGGAGUACGAUCGCAAGAUUAAAACUCAAAGGAAUUGACGGGGCCCCGCACAACCACCGGAGCAUGCGGCUUAAUUCGACGCAACGCGAAGAACCUUACCAAGCCUUGACAUAUACCGAAAAGUGCCAGAGAUGUCAUGUCCCCAAGGCCCCUAUACAGUGUGCAUGUUUUUCUCAGCUCGUUCUUCUGAAUUUGGUUUAAUUCCCCCACGAGCCCAACCCUCGUUCUGUGUACCCAUUAUUGGGACCUCAACGAGACCCCCGGGUUUACUCGAGAAGUGGGAGACUCAUCCUCAUGCCUAUUCUGGCUGCACCAUGCUACUGCCGUACAGAGGCUGCGAACCUAAGUGACGAUCCCAAACCGUCUCAGUUCAGAUGAGGUCUCACUCGACCUCAUGAAGUCG
RNAcentral lists this ribosomal RNA (1153 nucleotides) under uncultured Actinomycetes bacterium. RNAcentral's name for it is "bacterial SSU rRNA". It matches the Rfam family "Bacterial small subunit ribosomal RNA", at positions 85 to 1328 of the family's 1533-position model. The record is from RNAcentral. Lineage: Bacteria; Bacillati; Actinomycetota; Actinomycetes.